GCGGGCGUGCCGGAAUGGUAGACGGAAGCGACUUAAAAUCGCUCGGCCUCUGCGCCUUGCGGGUUCGAGUCCCGCCGCCCGUA
RNAcentral lists this transfer RNA (83 nucleotides) under Acetobacteraceae bacterium. RNAcentral describes it as "tRNA-Leu". It matches the Rfam family "tRNA". Rfam says of the family: Transfer RNA (tRNA) molecules are approximately 80 nucleotides in length. Their secondary structure includes four short double-helical elements and three loops (D, anti-codon, and T loops). Further hydrogen bonds mediate the characteristic L-shaped molecular structure. tRNAs have two regions of fundamental functional importance: the anti-codon, which is responsible for specific mRNA codon recognition, and the 3' end, to which the tRNAs corresponding amino acid is attached (by aminoacyl-tRNA synthetases). tRNAs cope with the degeneracy of the genetic code in two manners: having more than one tRNA (with a specific anti-codon) for a particular amino acid; and 'wobble' base-pairing, i.e. permitting non-standard base-pairing at the 3rd anti-codon position. Lineage: Bacteria; Pseudomonadati; Pseudomonadota; Alphaproteobacteria; Acetobacterales; Acetobacteraceae. The record is from RNAcentral.